RNAcentral lists this ribosomal RNA (429 nucleotides) under Bacteroidota bacterium. RNAcentral's name for it is "Bacteroidetes bacterium partial 16S ribosomal RNA". It matches the Rfam family "Bacterial small subunit ribosomal RNA", at positions 355 to 776 of the family's 1533-position model. The record is from RNAcentral. Lineage: Bacteria; Pseudomonadati; Bacteroidota.
UAGGGAAUCUUCGGCAAUGGGGGGAACCCUGACCGAGCAACGCCGCGUGAGUGAAGAAGGUUUUCGGAUCGUAAAACUCUGUUGUUAAGGAAGAACGAGUGUGAGAAUGGAAAGUUCAUACUGUGACGGUACUUAACCAGAAAGGGACGGCUAACUACGUGCCAGCAGCCGCGGUAAUACGUAGGUCCCGAGCGUUGUCCGGAUUUAUUGGGCGUAAAGCGAGCGCAGGCGGUUAGAUAAGUCUGAAGUUAAAGGCAGUGGCUCAACCAUUGUAGGCUUUGGAAACUGUUUAACUUGAGUGCAGAAGGGGAGAGUGGAAUUCCAUGUGUAGCGGUGAAAUGCGUAGAUAUAUGGAGGAACACCGGUGGCGAAAGCGGCUCUCUGGUCUGUAACUGACGCUGAGGCUCGAAAGCGUGGGGAGCGAACAGG